Molecule: long non-coding RNA, 449 nt
Organism: Helicoverpa armigera (cotton bollworm)
Lineage: Eukaryota; Metazoa; Arthropoda; Insecta; Lepidoptera; Noctuidae
Exons: 2
Source: RefSeq, a predicted model, not a curated record
CAAAAACAGAAAGAGAUAGAUAUAUAUACGAUCGUAUUGUGUCGCGUAAGGCCUGACAGUCGGGCACACGCGGCUGCCAUUUUAGUUGCGUCAGCGACGCGGACCGAGUCGUACUGCAUGUGAGGGUCCUCCAGCGCCACUAUUGUUUAUAUUUACGCGAGCAAUUAUGAAAGAAAGAAAAUAUGCAGUUUCCAGCCUCCUCAAUCAGUUGAUAAUAACACAGGAGAUAAAAAUGCAGCAGUUUUCUCACCAGAGCUAAUAAGACCACUGCCUAAAGCACCUCCCCGACUAAUUGGACAUACUAAAGCACGUAAAAGAAAGACAGCUUUUCUUACGGACACUCCAGAGAAAAAUGCUUUAGCAGAAGAACAGGCUAGUAAAAAGAAGAAAAAAGAAAGCGAAACUAAAAAGAAGGUUAAGGGAAAAGGGACGGGAAAAUGCAAGGGAAA